Molecule: ribosomal RNA, 924 nt
Filed under: uncultured bacterium
Lineage: Bacteria
Also listed under: 1 other name
Description: bacterial SSU rRNA
Rfam family: Bacterial small subunit ribosomal RNA
Source: RNAcentral
GGAUCCAGACUUUGAUUAUGGCUCAGGAUGAACGCUAGCUACAGGCUUAACACAUGCAAGUCGAGGGGAAACGACAUCGAAAGCUUGCUUUUGAUGGGCGUCGACCGGCGCACGGGUGAGUAACGCGUAUCCAACCUGCCCAUCACUUGGGGAUAACCUUGCGAAAGUAAGACUAAUACCCAAUGAUAUCUCAAGAAGACAUCUGAAUGAGAUUAAAGAUUUAUCGGUGAUGGAUGGGGAUGCGUCUGAUUAGCUUGUUGGCGGGGUAACGGCCCACCAAGGCGACGAUCAGUAGGGGUUCUGAGAGGAAGGUCCCCCACAUUGGAACUGAGACACGGUCCAAACUCCUACGGGAGGCAGCAGUGAGGAAUAUUGGUCAAUGGACGAGAGUCUGAACCAGCCAAGUAGCGUGCAGGAUGACGGCCCUAUGGGUUGUAAACUGCUUCUAUAAGGGAAUAAAGUGAGCCUCGUGAGGCUUUUUGCAUGUACCUUAUGAAUAAGGACCGGCUAAUUCCGUGCCAGCAGCCGCGGUAAUACGGAAGGUCCGGGCGUUAUCCGGAUUUAUUGGGUUUAAAGGGAGCGUAGGCCGGAGAUUAAGCGUGUUGUGAAAUGUAGAUGCUCAACAUCUGCACUGCAGCGCGAACUGGUUUCCUUGAAUACGCACAAAGUGGGCGGAAUUCGUGGUGUAGCGGUGAAAUGCUUAGAUAUCACGAAGAACUCCGAUUGCGAAGGCAGCUCACUGGAGCGCAACUGACGCUGAAGCUCGAAAGUGCGGGUAUCGAACAGGAUUAGAUACCCUGGUAGUCCGCACGGUAAACGAUGGAUGCCCGCUGUUGGUCUGAAUAGGUCAGCGGCCAAGCGAAAGCAUUAAGCAUCCCACCUGGGGAGUACGCCGGCAACGGUGCAACUCAAAGGAAUUGACGG